AUAACAGACUCCUUAGCUCAGACCCAAAGCUGUGGCUCUUCUUUAUUUGUUGGAAAAAUUCUUCUACAUGGGCUUCUUCCAAAUGGAUAAAUAGACUCACUGAUAGAAUGCUGACAUCUUUCUCCAGGGAAAGUUCUGACAUUUUGCUGAAGCUUUGUAUGAAGAGGAUUCCUCCUGUGGUCCUGAAAUGAUCUUCCAUGGAAAAUAAAGAAUCAGAUGUCAAAUAACUUGAAAAAAAAGUUCUUAUCAGUUUUAUUACUUAGUAGUCAUUCUAACUCUGACUAAAUUCUUCAGACUGAACAUGUGUAAGAUUACUUCAAACAUGUAAAAUAAGCAAAACUAUAUUACCAAUGUAUUCAUUGAUUCUCACGUCAAAGGAGUUAUGGAAAUAAAACUUGCAAAAAUA
Long non-coding RNA from Myodes glareolus (Bank vole), 406 nucleotides. RefSeq lists it as uncharacterized. NCBI's taxonomy places the organism in Eukaryota, Metazoa, Chordata, Mammalia, Rodentia, Cricetidae. The record is from RefSeq and is a predicted model, not a curated record.